UUGUAAGUAAUGAAGAGCGUAC
This 22-nucleotide ribosomal RNA is filed under the name uncultured bacterium. RNAcentral's name for it is "partial 23S ribosomal RNA". The record is from RNAcentral.